RNAcentral lists this ribosomal RNA (253 nucleotides) under uncultured bacterium. RNAcentral's name for it is "partial 16S ribosomal RNA". It matches the Rfam family "Bacterial small subunit ribosomal RNA", at positions 524 to 776 of the family's 1533-position model. The record is from RNAcentral.
UACAGAGGGGGCGAGCGUUGUUCGGAAUUACUGGGCGUAAAGGGCUCGUAGGUGGCCAACUAAGUCAGACGUGAAAUCCCUCGGCUUAACCGGGGAACUGCGUCUGAUACUGGAUGGCUUGAGUUCGGGAGAGGGAUGCGGAAUUCCAGGUGUAGCGGUGAAAUGCGUAGAUAUCGGGAGGAACACCAGCGGCGAAGGCGGGUACCUGGGCCAACACUGACGCUGAGGCGCGAAAGCUAGGGGAGCAAACAGG